CCUCCCAUCUCUCUCACUGUGUGUAGCAGGAGCCGCCGCCGCCCUAGUAGUUCUCUGCCGACGGCCGUUUCGAGCGCCACCGCGAGCAGCCGUGCCAGAUCCGUCAACAACUCCUCCGGAUCGGCGCGACCACAACCACCUCGCCCCGCCUGCUGGAAUCUGUCGCCGUUGACCUCCAGCGCCGCCACAUUCCCCGCUCACGUUCACGCCACCAUGGCCAUGGCGCCCUGAGCCCGGAGACGAGCAGCUCCUGCCCAUGUGCCCUGUCGCUGGCCGCCAGUGCCUUCCCGGCCUCCAUCCUGGCCGGAUCCGGUCCAGCCCGAGCAUCCCGCAGAUGGAUCCGCCGUCUCUGCCGCGCCCCCCAUGCCCCGCAUCGAUCUCGGACUCCCCGGCAUCGCGCCGCCGCCCCUUGCAGGGUUGACCUCGCCUGACACCUCCUCGCUCAAUCGCCGUCGUGGGUGGCCUCGCGCCCUCCGGUGGCGAUUCCUCGUCGUUGUUGUUGUUGCAUUCCCGGUAGCAGAGAGAGUGAGAGAGGAAAAAGAGAGAUUGAUUUUUCUUUUUGGCUUUUUCCCCUUUUCUAUGUAUCUGGGGCCACUUGUAAGUGUCAUGUUUCUUCUUUUC
Triticum dicoccoides is the source of this 621-nucleotide long non-coding RNA. RefSeq lists it as uncharacterized. Lineage: Eukaryota; Viridiplantae; Streptophyta; Magnoliopsida; Poales; Poaceae. The transcript has 2 exons. The record is from RefSeq and is a predicted model, not a curated record.